GACGAACGCUGGCGGCGUGCUUAACACAUGCAAGUCGAACGGAAAGGCCCUGCUUUUGUGGGGUGCUCGAGUGGCGAACGGGUGAGUAACACGUGAGUAACCUGCCCUUGACUUUGGGAUAACUUCAGGUAACUGGGGCUAAUACCGGAUAGGAGCUCCUGCUGCAUGGUGGGGGGUGGAAAUUUUCGGCGGUUGGGGAUGGACUCGCGGCUUAUCAGCUUGUUGGUUGGGUAGUGGCUGACCAAGGCUUUGACGGGUAGCCGGCCUGAGAGGGUGACCGGCCACAUUGGGACUGAGAUACGGCCCAGACUCCUACGGGAGGCAGCAGUGGGGAAUAUUGCACAAUGGGCGGAAGCCUGAUGCAGCAACGCCGCGUGCGGGAUGACGGCCUUCGGGUUGUAAACCGCUUUCGCCUGUGACGAAGCGUGAGUGACGGUAAUGGGUAAAGAAGCACCGGCUAACUAGGUG
This 468-nucleotide ribosomal RNA is filed under the name uncultured bacterium. Its description in RNAcentral is "partial 16S ribosomal RNA". It matches the Rfam family "Bacterial small subunit ribosomal RNA", at positions 28 to 507 of the family's 1533-position model. The record is from RNAcentral.